AUUGAACGCUGGCGGCAGGCCUAACACAUGCAAGUCGAACGGUAACAGGAAGCAGCUUGCUGCUUCGCUGACGAGUGGCGGACGGGUGAGUAAUGUCUGGGAAACUGCCUGAUGGAGGGGGAUAACUACUGGAAACGGUAGCUAAUACCGCAUAACGUCGCAAGACCAAAGAGGGGGACCUUAGGGCCUCUUGCCAUCGGAUGUGCCCAGAUGGGAUUAGCUAGUAGGUGGGGUAACGGCUCACCUAGGCGACGAUCCCUAGCUGGUCUGAGAGGAUGACCAGCCACACUGGAACUGAGACACGGUCCAGACUCCUACGGGAGGCAGCAGUGGGGAAUAUUGCACAAUGGGCGCAAGCCUGAUGCAGCCAUGCCGCGUGUAUGAAGAAGGCCUUCGGGUUGUAAAGUACUUUCAGCGGGGAGGAAGGGAGUAAAGUUAAUAUCUUUGCUCAUUGACGUUACCCGCAGAAGAAGCACCGGCUAACUCCGUG
Molecule: ribosomal RNA, 490 nt
Filed under: uncultured bacterium
Lineage: Bacteria
Description: partial 16S ribosomal RNA
Rfam family: Bacterial small subunit ribosomal RNA
Source: RNAcentral